GAUGAACGCUGGCGGCGUGCCUAAUACAUGCAAGUCGAGCGAACAGACGAGGAGCUUGCUCCUCUGACGUUAGCGGCGGACGGGUGAGUAACACGUGGAUAACCUACCUAUAAGACUGGGAUAACUUCGGGAAACCGGAGCUAAUACCGGAUAAUAUAUUGAACCGCAUGGUUUAAUAGUGAAAGACGGUUUUGCUGUCACUUAUAGAUGGAUCCGCGCCGCAUUAGCUAGUUGGUAAGGUAACGGCUUACCAAGGCAACGAUGCGUAGCCGACCUGAGAGGGUGAUCGGCCACACUGGAACUGAGACACGGUCCAGACUCCUACGGGAGGCAGCAGUAGGGAAUCUUCCGCAAUGGGCGAAAGCCUGACGGAGCAACGCCGCGUGAGUGAAGAAGGUCUUCGGAUCGUAAAACUCUGUUAUUAGGGAAGAACAAAUGUGUAAGUAACUAUGCACGUCUUGACGGUACCUAAUCAGAAAGCCACGGCUAACUACGUG
RNAcentral lists this ribosomal RNA (497 nucleotides) under uncultured bacterium. RNAcentral's name for it is "partial 16S ribosomal RNA". It matches the Rfam family "Bacterial small subunit ribosomal RNA", at positions 28 to 507 of the family's 1533-position model. The record is from RNAcentral.